CUGAACACAAAAUGGCGACACGUGGUUAGCAUUCGUCGCCAACGAGAAAUUGGGGUCGGCCCGAAAGCUCUAGAAUGCACCCCUCUUCCUCCCCGGGGCCUUCCACCUCCGCGAGUUUUAUGACUUAAAAAAGCCCACAGGCUGGUCUGAAGAGGAAGACAAACAUAAAGAUGAAGUGCUUAAUUCAAGGUCACACAAUGUCGGGGAUGGACCUCCAGAUUUCCUUACUGGAAAACAAGCUCAGGGCUCCCACUGAUUGUACAUUAUGAGACGGAGUCUUGCUAUGUUGCCCAGGCUGGUCUUGAACUCCUCACCUCAAGCGAUCCUCCCGUCUUGGCCUCCCAAGUGUCAGGAUUACGGGCAUGUGCUAUCACACCCAACCUGAUACAUUGCCUUUAUAAAUUUUUUUUUCUUUAUUCUAAAAACCAGAAAAAACAAAACUGGAUACAUGUGCAGAACAUGCAGACCAAGUGUGUUGGGGACUUGAGAUGCGUACAUGAGUGUGAUGUUUCCUGCUGAAAGCACAGGUGAGACGUGGUCUUGUAACACAGUGGUUAAGAAUGUGACUUUGGAGCCAGCCUGCUAGGGGCUGAAUUCUGACUCAGCCAUUUACUAACUGUGUGACCUUAGGUGGAGUCUCACUCUGUAGCCCAAGCUGGAGUGGCGUGAUCUCGACUCACUGCAACCUCCGCCUCCUGGGAUCAAGUGAUUCUCGUGCCUCAGCCUCCUGAGUAGCCGGGACUACAGGUCACAGAAUUUUCCACACUCCUUGACAGAGGUGCUUAACCCUUAUCCAUCAGCAUUCUCAGACAGCACCUCCGGUUAGGGACAGUAUCUGACCGUCCGACAUCCCUGCAGCCCCCAUGUGUCACACAGACUCAGCCUCAGGUAGAUGGUUUCCGUAGAUGGUGGCUUUCUUUGGACCCUUGACAUCAACCAGUUACUAUUUGGUCUAGGGGUCUCACCAACGCUGCUCAUCUAGCAGGGCCACACAUAACAAAUAGAAGCAGAGCAAGCCCUGGAACUCCUGCCUGACAGUGACACGACGACAGAAACAUCUUACCAGUCAGAGGACCAUGAGAAAUAGAUUCAAGGAGCAUUCCACGUGCAAGUGAGUCUUGGCCCCAUCUGCCUUUGGAUUUUAGCCGUGAACUGGAAGGUAUUGGAAAGAAGACCCUCAGAAAUAGCUUAAUCAAAAUCCCUGCGUCUGAACCAAGUGCCUUAUUUCUCUGUGGGCCUCAAGCUUCGCUGACAUCUGUGGAGCACACUGUCCUAACAGGAGUGCUGUCUGAUUUCCCAACGCUCUGCAAAACAAACAGCCUGGAAGGGUGGCUGGUGGAAGGUGGUUUUUAGAGAGAGACUUGUAGAUAACAGGAAAGUGAAGGCUGUAAGGAAGGUUGUAAUUAAACAGCACAUGGAAACACAA
RNAcentral lists this long non-coding RNA (1426 nucleotides) under Homo sapiens (human). Its description in RNAcentral is "PCBP1 antisense RNA 1". Lineage: Eukaryota; Metazoa; Chordata; Mammalia; Primates; Hominidae. The record is from RNAcentral.